CCUGAUUCCAUCUCGAACUCAGUAGUGAAACGAACAUGCGCCAAUGAUAGUGUGAGGUUUCCUC
This 64-nucleotide ribosomal RNA is filed under the name Legionella cincinnatiensis. The record is from RNAcentral. Lineage: Bacteria; Pseudomonadati; Pseudomonadota; Gammaproteobacteria; Legionellales; Legionellaceae.